This is a long non-coding RNA of Mastomys coucha (southern multimammate mouse), 256 nucleotides long. RefSeq lists it as uncharacterized. The record is from RefSeq and is a predicted model, not a curated record. The transcript has 2 exons. Lineage: Eukaryota; Metazoa; Chordata; Mammalia; Rodentia; Muridae.
ACACGUACAGUCCAUAAAUGUCCAAAUUCUUGUCCAAGACCAUCAGCUCAUUGAAGAUCAGAACUCUCCUUCCACGAAGGCGCUCUGGGGUGAAGUCCUGUGGAGUCAGACAACCUUUCCAGGUUGAAUGCAAACAAGUCAGGAUUUUGUUCCCUUAGUAGGACAAACUAGCAUUAGGCUAUCUGUGGGCUUUGGCUGAAGGGUCUAAAGCCAUUCCCUGUGGUUGAGAUGCCCUAAUAAAACCCAGUACCUGAGA